GACGAACGCUGGCGGCGUGCUUAACACAUGCAAGUCGAGCGGUAAGGCCCUUUCGGGGGUACGACGAGCGGCGAACGGGUGAGUAACACGUGGGUGACCUGCCCUCAGCUCUGGGAUAAGCCUGGGAAACUGGGUCUAAUACCGGAUAUGACUCCAUGACGCAUGUUGUGGGGUGGAAAGCCUUGUGCGGCUGAGGAUGGGCCCGCGGCCUAUCAGCUUGUUGGUGGGGUGANGGCCUACCAAGGCGACGACGGGUAGCCGGCCUGAGAGGGCGACCGGCCACACUGGGACUGAGACACGGCCCAGACUCCUACGGGAGGCAGCAGUGGGGAACCUUGCGCAAUGGGCGAAAGCCUGACGCAGCGACGCCGCGUGAGGGAUGACGGCCU
Molecule: ribosomal RNA, 389 nt
Filed under: uncultured bacterium
Lineage: Bacteria
Description: bacterial SSU rRNA
Rfam family: Bacterial small subunit ribosomal RNA
Source: RNAcentral